UCUGGUGGCCGCCUGCAUGGGCACCUACCGCCGCGCAGCCAGGGCGCUCCUGGCGCGAGCCCGCACCCUGCACCUGCAGGCUGGGAACCUGCUGAGCUGGGGCCGUCUGCAGAGGAAGUGUCUUUCCACGCACAGCGAGGAGGUGAGGGCCGGCCAGCAGCGUCCGCGCAAAUCCAGGUUCUGGGGCAGGCGGCCGGCCAGGGCAGGUGAGGGAGAGCACGCCUGGGCGCCGCUGGGGACUGCGGCCAGGGUCAGUGCAACCUCUUGUCCGGACCUGCCGCCUGGGGCCGAGCGUCCUAAAAACUCAGCAGGUGCAGCUGCACACCCAGUGCCGCCUCUGCCACUGUUCGAGGUGGAUAGCAGAACUCUGAGACGCGCUGGCAGGGGAAUCGGGGAGCGCCAGUAAGUGGCUGGGUGCCUCUAUCAAUCUCUUGCUCUCUUCCCCACCCUUUCCUUUCGAAAGGAAUAUUCGAAAGAUUAACUUUUGGUAAAUGAAAUAAUAUUCACAAUACGCUUAACUUUGUGUCAAUGUUGGUAUUAAUCUAUUGCUGUGAAGCAAAUGACGAAACAACUCAAAUUUGGUUUGGGCGUAGACACGAAUUUUUUUCUUACUGGAAGUUAAUCUGCCUCAUUUUAUUUUCCCGAAGGCUGAUCACUAGUUAGUUGGAGGUGGCAGAUGUUAAUCUAGAAGUAUGCACUUGUUACUCCUUUGUUGCUGACUCUUUCUGAGCCAGUGAGUAGUCAUCUAUUGACUGCACAAGUAAUUUGUGGCACGGAAUAAUUUUAGUACUUGAAAAAAAUUCCCAGUGACUAUGUGCGUUUAUGAUGUGUUGGUUAAAUGUAAAAGUAAUAGAACAAAAACUUCAGGAGCCAUGCGACUUUGGGAAAGAAGCUUUGAAGUUGGAUGCUACCUUCCUCAUCAGGUUGUUGUGAAAAUUAAGAGAUUAUAUAUGAAAAUACUCAACCUAGGAGAGUUUAUCUCCAUAUAACCUGGUUCUAUCAGAAAAAUGCCUUGAUUAAAAGAACCAGUUGCCUCAACUGUCAAAUUAUCAGCUGUUCAGAGUAAGAUUUAGCUAUUUUUAUAGAGAGCUGUUGUCCACAGAACCUGCAGUAAGUAGCAGUUUGUAUGUGUGGGGAACCAGCAACCUUCAGGAAGUGAGAACUCUUGGUUGUCACUUUAAUAUGCACCAGAAUCCCUAUCCUAUUCUAUGUUUGGGUUCCAACUUUGUUUAAACCACCCACUUUGACUUUCUCUGAAAGAUAAGUAUUUCUAUAUUUGUUACAUAGAGCCUUAAUUUCUUUCAGCAGUGAUAGUCAUGACCAAGGUAGCUGGAAGUUCUGCAGGUAUUUUGAUGAUAUUGGUGAGAUUUUUUUCUGUUAUAUCACUAUAACACAUUGUAGAGUAGUGGCUUUCAAUUUUUUUUUACUCCAAAUGGUACGAAAUGUAUUUUACCCAUGCAGUUCAUAAUUAUAUAUUUAUAUGUGUGUAUCAAUAUGUCUGAAACAGAGAUCUCA
Molecule: long non-coding RNA, 1515 nt
Filed under: Marmota monax (woodchuck)
Lineage: Eukaryota; Metazoa; Chordata; Mammalia; Rodentia; Sciuridae
Source: RNAcentral